RNAcentral lists this ribosomal RNA (497 nucleotides) under uncultured bacterium. Its description in RNAcentral is "partial 16S ribosomal RNA". It matches the Rfam family "Bacterial small subunit ribosomal RNA", at positions 28 to 507 of the family's 1533-position model. The record is from RNAcentral.
GAUGAACGCUGGCGGCGUGCCUAAUACAUGCAAGUCGAGCGAACAGACGAGGAUCUUGCUCCUCUGACGUUAACGGCGGACGUGUGAGUAACACGUGGAUAACCUACCUAUAAGACUGGGAUAACUUCGGGAAACCGGAGCUAAUACCGGAUAAUAUAUUGAACCGCAUGGUUCAAUAGUGAAAGACGGUUUUGCUGUCACUUAUAGAUGGAUCCGCGCCGCAGUAGCUAGUUGGUAAGGUAACGGCUUACCAAGGCAACGAUGCUUAGCCGACCUGAGAGGGUGAUCGGGCACACUGGAACUGAGACACGGUCCAGACUCCUACGGGAGGCAGCAGUAGGGAAUCUUCCGCAAUGGGCGAAAGCGUGACGGAGCAACGCCGCGUGAGUGAUGAAGGUCUUCGGAUCGUAAAACGCUGUUAUUAGGGAAGAACAAAUGUGUAAGUAACUAUGCACGUCUUGACGGUACCUAAUCAGAAAGCCACGGCUAACUACGUG